UAAACAGAAACUUGUUGGUUGAAGUGCCUGGCUGUUAACUAGGUGUUUGUGGGAUCAAGGCCCGCCUGUUUAU
Molecule: transfer RNA, 73 nt
Filed under: Melanosuchus niger (black caiman)
Lineage: Eukaryota; Metazoa; Chordata; Crocodylia; Alligatoridae
Description: tRNA-Asn
Rfam family: tRNA
About the family: Transfer RNA (tRNA) molecules are approximately 80 nucleotides in length. Their secondary structure includes four short double-helical elements and three loops (D, anti-codon, and T loops).
Source: RNAcentral